UUCUGCUGCUAGAUGUACAAGGGCAGGGGAGUUAGCUGCAGGCCUUGGAUUGAAGACUUGGGGGGCAUGGAAGCUGUUAAGAAAGAGUAUUUGUAUUAAAAGGCUUUAGCAAAUUAUUUUAUCCCUUGCAAAGCUGUUUGGGUCAAUAGAAAAAUAACUGAUACAUGUCAUAGAAAAUUUCUAGCCAGAACCUUAAAGAUACUGUUUAAAAGGUAUUUCCAGAGGGGACCUUGAGUUGGUUCUUGAUUCAUUGUCAUCAUGGUCCUUGACUCAUCUGAGUUCAGCUGCCUGUGUUACAUCCCCCAUAUAAACAGGCUGGAGUUUUUCCCCCGCACACGGUGACAUUUCUGGUGGUAGGUGGAUGAAGUUUGAGGAGAAGGUAGAACAAGGUGGGGAGUGAUGGAGCAAACAUCAUGUGGCCACCUUAUCCCUGCACAGCUUGUUUCAGUUGUGGACAUGUAUAGAGAAAAGCUCGAUAAUGCGGGUUGUGGAGGCUUCUUUUCUCCCUCAGGUGGUGGGUGAUCUCAGUGGCUGCUGUUGCUGUAACACUGCUCCGAGUGUGGUAGUUUUGGUGGGCCAGAGCCUUAGUCAGACAGAUGGGGAUCUUCAAGAAGCCUGCAGACUUGGUUUCCAGAAUUAUUUAAUCAUCAUGACUUGGUUGAUGUCCUGUAGUGACACACAGGAAACAAAAACUGCAAGAGCUCUCUUUGUUGAUUUGUGUUCUAUCAGAAACAUGGAAGAAAUACUUGCUGGAUGGAGAGGUUAAACGGAAUGAAGAAAGACAUGUUGUUCUGAAGGAAGUAUUCCAAAAAUACCAAUAAAAAAUGACUUACAGAAAAUUGUCGAUUUAGAGAAAUAAACCACUUGCCAAACAUUUUGUGUAACAAUACCUAUGUGCAUAUAAUCAUUAGUUUCUGAGUCUGGGUGGAAGAAUUAGGCUUUCCCCACCUGUGAUCUGAAGAGGCAUUAGUUCUUGGGGAGUGCAGAAAGGAUGACAUCCUGACUUACUGAGGAAGCAAAUGCGAUGUGUCUUCUGCCUCCCUUUCCCUGUAACUUUUAUUAUUAGCACAGAUGAAAGUUACCAGUAGACAAAUUGGAGCUGCCACUUGCCGUUGGGGA
Pezoporus occidentalis (night parrot) is the source of this 1119-nucleotide long non-coding RNA. RefSeq lists it as uncharacterized. Lineage: Eukaryota; Metazoa; Chordata; Aves; Psittaciformes; Psittacidae. The transcript is spliced from 3 exons. The record is from RefSeq and is a predicted model, not a curated record.